Molecule: microRNA, 22 nt
Filed under: Drosophila mojavensis
Lineage: Eukaryota; Metazoa; Arthropoda; Insecta; Diptera; Drosophilidae
Description: Dmo-Novel-7-P2_5p (mature (co-guide))
Source: RNAcentral
UCUGCAUGAUGGGUCUUUUAAA